AUUGUACUCCCCCCGUCCCAAAAAUCUUGUCUUAGAUUUGUCUAAAUAUAAAUGUAUCUAGUCAUGUUUUAGUAUUUAGGUACAUUUAUUUUUAGACAAAUCUAAAAUAAGAAUUUUGGGACGGAGGGAGUACGUG
This 136-nucleotide microRNA precursor is filed under the name Hordeum vulgare. Its description in RNAcentral is "microRNA MIR1122". It matches the Rfam family "MIR1120/MIR1122 microRNA precursor family". The record is from RNAcentral. Lineage: Eukaryota; Viridiplantae; Streptophyta; Magnoliopsida; Poales; Poaceae.